CCGAAUUCGUCGACAACAGAGUUUGAUCCUGGCUCAGGACGAACGCUGGCGGCGUGCUUAACACAUGCAAGUCGAACGCUGAAGCUCCAGCUUGCUGGGGUGGAUGAGUGGCGAACGGGUGAGUAAUACGUGAGUAACCUGCCCUUGACUCUGGGAUAAGCCUGGGAAACCGGGUCUAAUACUGGAUACGACGUCCUGCCGCAUGGUGGGGGGUGGAAAGGGUUUUACUGGUUUUGGAUGGGCUCACGGCCUAUCAGCUUGUUGGUGGGGUAAUGGCCUACCAAGGCGACGACGGGUAGCCGGCCUGAGAGGGUGACCGGCCACACUGGGACUGAGACACGGCCCAGACUCCUACGGGAGGCAGCAGUGGGGAAUAUUGCACAAUGGGCGGAAGCCUGAUGCAGCGACGCCGCGUGAGGGAUGACGGCCUUCGGGUUGUAAACCUCUUUCAGCAGGGAAGAAGCCACAAGUGACGGUACCUGCAGAAGAAGCGCCGGCUAACUACGUGCCAGCAGCCGCGGUAAUACGUAGGGCGCAAGCGUUGUCCGGAAUUAUUGGGCGUAAAGAGCUCGUAGGCGGUUUGUCGCGUCUGCUGUGAAAGCCCGGGGCCCAACCCCGGGUCUGCAGUGGGUACGGGCAGACUAAAGUGCAGUAGGGGAGACUGGAAUUCCUGGUGUAGCGGUGAAAUGCGC
This 692-nucleotide ribosomal RNA is filed under the name Kocuria sp. 'Mali 32'. RNAcentral describes it as "partial 16S ribosomal RNA". It matches the Rfam family "Bacterial small subunit ribosomal RNA", at positions 1 to 691 of the family's 1533-position model. Lineage: Bacteria; Bacillati; Actinomycetota; Actinomycetes; Micrococcales; Micrococcaceae. The record is from RNAcentral.